RNAcentral lists this ribosomal RNA (497 nucleotides) under uncultured bacterium. Its description in RNAcentral is "partial 16S ribosomal RNA". It matches the Rfam family "Bacterial small subunit ribosomal RNA", at positions 28 to 507 of the family's 1533-position model. The record is from RNAcentral.
GAUGAACGCUGGCGGCGUGCCUAAUACAUGCAAGUCGAGCGAACAGAUGAGGAGCUUGCUCCUCUGACGUUAGCGGCGGACGGGUGAGUAACACGUGGAUAACCUACCUAUAAGACUGGGAUAACUUCGGGAAACCGGAGCUAAUACCGGAUAAUAUAUUGAACCGCAUGGUUCAAUAGUGAAAGACGGUUUUGCUGUCACUUAUAGAUGGAUCCGCGCCGCAUUAGCUAGUUGGUAAGGUAACGGCUUACCAAGGCAACGAUGCGUAGCCGACCUGAGAGGGUGAUCGGCCACACCGGAACCGAGACACGGUCCAGACUCCUACGGGAGGCAGCAGUAGGGAAUCUUCCGCAAUGGGCGAAAGCCUGACGGAGCAACGCCGCGUGAGUGAUGAAGGUCUUCGGAUCGUAAAACUCUGUUAUUAGGGAAGAACAAAUGUGUAAGUAACUAUGCACGUCUUGACGGUACCUAAUCAGAAAGCCACGGCUAACUACGUG